UACGUAGGGGCGCAAGCGUUGUCCGGAAUUAUUGGGCGUAAAGAGCUCGUAGGCGGUUUGUCGCGUCUGCCGUGAAAACCCGAGGCUUAACCUCGUGGCUUGCGGUGGAUACGGGCAGACUAGAGUGCGGUAGGGGUGACUGGAAUCCUGGUGUAGCGGUGAAAUGCGUAGAGAGUCGGAAAGAACACCAACGGCGAAAGCACUCUGCUGGGCCGACACUGACACUGAGAGACGAAAGCUAGGGGAGCGAAUGGG
This 255-nucleotide ribosomal RNA is filed under the name uncultured bacterium. RNAcentral describes it as "partial 16S ribosomal RNA". It matches the Rfam family "Bacterial small subunit ribosomal RNA", at positions 524 to 776 of the family's 1533-position model. The record is from RNAcentral.